This 108-nucleotide ribosomal RNA is filed under the name Sneathia vaginalis. The record is from RNAcentral. RNAcentral also lists the same sequence under 2 other names. Lineage: Bacteria; Fusobacteriati; Fusobacteriota; Fusobacteriia; Fusobacteriales; Leptotrichiaceae.
UUUGGUGACUUAGCUACAGAGAUACACCUAGUUACAUACCGAACCUAGAAGUUAAGCCUGUAAACGUCGAAAAUACUAGUAAUUUGGGAAGAUAGAUAGUUGCCAAAU